RNAcentral lists this ribosomal RNA (836 nucleotides) under Salmonella enterica subsp. enterica. RNAcentral describes it as "partial 23S ribosomal RNA". It matches the Rfam family "Bacterial large subunit ribosomal RNA", at positions 711 to 1547 of the family's 2925-position model. The record is from RNAcentral. Lineage: Bacteria; Pseudomonadati; Pseudomonadota; Gammaproteobacteria; Enterobacterales; Enterobacteriaceae.
AGACCCGAAACCCGGUGAUCUAGCCAUGGGCAGGUUGAAGGUUGGGUAACACUAACUGGAGGACCGAACCGACUAAUGUUGAAAAAUUAGCGGAUGACCUGUGGCUGGGGGUGAAAGGCCAAUCAAACCGGGAGAUAGCUGGUUCUCCCCGAAAGCUAUUUAGGUAGCGCCUCGUGAAUUCAUCUCCGGGGGUAGAGCACUGUUUCGGCUAGGGGGUCAUCCCGACUUACCAACCCGAUGCAAACUGCGAAUACCGGAGAAUGUUAUCACGGGAGACACACGGCGGGUGCUAACGUCCGUCGUGAAGAGGGAAACAACCCAGACCGCCAGCUAAGGUCCCAAAGUCAUGGUUAAGUGGGAAACGAUGUGGGAAGGCCCAGACAGCCAGGAUGUUGGCUUAGAAGCAGCCAUCAUUUAAAGAAAGCGUAAUAGCUCACUGGUCGAGUCGGCCUGCGCGGAAGAUGUAACGGGGCUAAACCAUGCACCGAAGCUGCGGCAGCGACACUCAGGUGUUGUUGGGUAGGGGAGCGUUCUGUAAGCCUGCGAAGGUGGCCUGUGAGGGUUGCUGGAGGUAUCAGAAGUGCGAAUGCUGACAUAAGUAACGAUAAAGCGGGUGAAAAGCCCGCUCGCCGGAAGACCAAGGGUUCCUGUCCAACGUUAAUCGGGGCAGGGUGAGUCGACCCCUAAGGCGAGGCCGAAAGGCGUAGUCGAUGGGAAACGGGUUAAUAUUCCCGUACUUGGUGUUACUGCGAAGGGGGGACGGAGAAGGCUAUGUUGGCCGGGCGACGGUUGUCCCGGUUUAAGCGUGUAGGUGUGUGUUCCAGGUAAAUCCGGUU